GACGAACGCUGGCGGCGUGCCUAAUACAUGCAAGUCGAGCGCUUGCAUAUUGAAAGCUUGCUUUCAAUAUGCUUGAGCGGCGGACGGGUGAGUAACACGUGGGCAACCUGCCUGUAAGACUGGGAUAACUUCGGGAAACCGGAGCUAAUACCGGAUAAUGCUUUUGAACACAUGUUCGAAAGCUGAAAGAUGGUUUCGGCUAUCACUUACAGAUGGGCCCGCGGCGCAUUAGCUAGUUGGUGAGGUAACGGCUCACCAAGGCGACGAUGCGUAGCCGACCUGAGAGGGUGAUCGGCCACACUGGGACUGAGACACGGCCCAGACUCCUACGGGAGGCAGCAGUAGGGAAUCUUCCGCAAUGGACGAAAGUCUGACGGAGCAACGCCGCGUGAGUGAUGAAGGUUUUCGGAUCGUAAAACUCUGUUGUUAGGGAAGAACAAGUACCGGAGUAACUGCCGGUACCGGACGUACCUAA
This 475-nucleotide ribosomal RNA is filed under the name Bacillus sp. oral taxon F79. RNAcentral describes it as "bacterial SSU rRNA". It matches the Rfam family "Bacterial small subunit ribosomal RNA", at positions 28 to 482 of the family's 1533-position model. The record is from RNAcentral. Lineage: Bacteria; Bacillati; Bacillota; Bacilli; Caryophanales; Bacillaceae.